RNAcentral lists this transfer RNA (68 nucleotides) under Marmota monax (woodchuck). RNAcentral describes it as "tRNA.Met". The stretch from base 5 to 65 matches the Rfam family "tRNA", at positions 6 to 65 of the family's 71-position model. From Rfam's summary of the family: Transfer RNA (tRNA) molecules are approximately 80 nucleotides in length. Their secondary structure includes four short double-helical elements and three loops (D, anti-codon, and T loops). The record is from RNAcentral. Lineage: Eukaryota; Metazoa; Chordata; Mammalia; Rodentia; Sciuridae.
GGACUGUGGCUCAGCGGUAGAGUGCUUGCCUCAUACGUGUGAGACCCUGGGUUCAAUCCUCAGCACCA